AGUGAACGCUGGCGGUAGGCCUAACACGUGCAAGUCGAACGGCAGCACAGUAAGAGCUUGCUCUUACGGGUGGCGAGUGGCGGACGGGUGAGGAAUACAUCGGAAUCUACUUUUUCGUGGGGGAUAACGUAGGGAAACUUACGCUAAUACCGCAUACGACCUACGGGUGAAAGCAGGGGAUCUUCGGACCUUGCGCGAUUGAAUGAGCCGAAGUCGGAUUAGCUAGUUGGCGGGGUAAAGGCCCACCAAGGCGACGAUCCGUAGCUGGUCUGAGAGGAUGAUCAGCCACACUGGAACUGAGACACGGUCCAGACUCCUACGGGAGGCAGCAGUGGGGAAUAUUGGACAAUGGGCGCAAGCCUGAUCCAGCCAUACCGCGUGGGUGAAGAAGGCCUUCGGGUUGUAAAGCCCUUUUGUUGGGAAAGAAAAGCAGCAGGUUAAUACCCCGCUGUUCUGACGGUACCCAAAGAAUAAGCACCGGCUAACUUCGUG
This 492-nucleotide ribosomal RNA is filed under the name uncultured bacterium. RNAcentral describes it as "partial 16S ribosomal RNA". It matches the Rfam family "Bacterial small subunit ribosomal RNA", at positions 29 to 507 of the family's 1533-position model. The record is from RNAcentral.